UAAUUGAAGAGUUUGAUCAUGGCUCAGAUUGAACGCUGGCGGCAGGCCUAACACAUGCAAGUCGGGCGGUAACAGGGAGAAGCUUGCUUCUCUGCUGACGAGCGGCGGACGGGUGAGUAAUGUAUGGGGAUCUGCCUGAUGGCGGGGGAUAACUACUGGAAACGGUAGCUAAUACCGCAUAAUGUCUUCGGACCAAAGCGGGGGACCUU
Molecule: ribosomal RNA, 209 nt
Filed under: Morganella morganii
Lineage: Bacteria; Pseudomonadati; Pseudomonadota; Gammaproteobacteria; Enterobacterales; Morganellaceae
Description: partial 16S ribosomal RNA
Rfam family: Bacterial small subunit ribosomal RNA
Source: RNAcentral